UGCAAGUCGAACGCAAUCUUUUAACAAUGAGUGCUUGCACUCAGCGUUUUAAGUGCGAGUGGCGAACGGGUGAGUAACACGUGGGCAAUCUGCCCAAAAGUGGGGGAUAACACUUGGAAACAGGUGCUAAUACCGCAUCAACCGGCUGACCGCAUGGUCGGCCGGGCAAAGACGGCGUCAGCUGUCGCUUUUGGAUGAGCCCGCGGCGUAUUAACUAGUUGGUAAGGUAACGGCUUACCAAGGUGAUGAUACGUAGCCGAACUGAGAGGUUGAUCGGCCACAUUGGGGCUGAGACACGGCCCAAACUCCUACGGGAGGCAGCAGUAGGGAAUCUUCCACAAUGGACGCAAGUCUGAUGGAGCAACGCCGCGUGUAUGAAGAAGGUCUUCGGAUCGUAAAAUACUGUUGUCAGAGAAGAACACGUGAUAGAGUAACUGCUAUGGCGCUGACGGUAUCUGACCAGCAAGUCACGGCUAACUAC
Molecule: ribosomal RNA, 481 nt
Filed under: uncultured bacterium
Lineage: Bacteria
Description: bacterial SSU rRNA
Rfam family: Bacterial small subunit ribosomal RNA
Source: RNAcentral